This is a long non-coding RNA of Sinocyclocheilus anshuiensis, 219 nucleotides long. RefSeq lists it as uncharacterized. The transcript has 3 exons. The record is from RefSeq and is a predicted model, not a curated record. Lineage: Eukaryota; Metazoa; Chordata; Actinopteri; Cypriniformes; Cyprinidae.
UGUUAAGAAAGAAUGUGAGCGAAGCAUCCCAGAAGUGAAGUCAAGCAACCAAGAGGAGACGAAGUUGGACUACAAGAACAAUCUUCUGAAGGAAGCGGAAAUGUCCAAACUUUGCUCCCAAAAAGCUAUUGACCUGGACAGAGAGAUGGAGAAGCCAUCUUGGAAAUAAGAGGUACCUUGCCACUGGCUGGUCCAGGGGCAGAUUUGGAAACGGAUGAA